Molecule: long non-coding RNA, 700 nt
Filed under: Ananas comosus (pineapple)
Lineage: Eukaryota; Viridiplantae; Streptophyta; Magnoliopsida; Poales; Bromeliaceae
Description: long non-coding RNA (ACOM_LNC034121)
Source: RNAcentral
AAAUUAAUAAUUUAAUUCAUCUAUUUGAUUUUUUAAAAAAUAAUCUUUUGAAAAAAAUUAAAUUUUAUAAAAAAUUAGUAUUUUUAUUUUUUAAAUUUUUUAUCCGGAAAGCGAAAACUAUAAAUUAGUAGUUUUUUAUUUAAAAUUCAUAACAAAAUGCUUUUCCGUUGUAACAGAAUUAGGUUAUAUUAAUAUAUUUUUUGUACACUUUUAUAUAAGUGUUCCAUUUAAGCGAAAUUUUUUUAAAAAAAAUCUAUUAAGUCGUAAAUAUAAAGUCCAAUCUAAUAAAACAUAAAAAGUUUCUCUACUCAACCAACCAUACCUAGUCCAUUCGGUCUGAUUAAAAAAAAAAAAUUAAUCACCAUCUUCCCUUCUCCUCCUCUGGCGCCGUAGCUGACAAGAUAGGAUUCCGGUGGCUAAAGUUCGUCCGCGAGGAUCUUUCAUGGACUGUAGAGAAUUACGAUCACCACGUAUCCUUCUACCAUAGGUCGUUGGAGGAAUGAGAGCCAAAUAUUAAGACGGUCCUACCUAUACCGACUCUACAUAUAACAAUACUUUUAACAAAUGUCGAUAAUUUAGCUAACAGUAUAUUUUUUUACUUAUACCGAUAUUUAAAAGUGUCGUUAUAUAUCUUUUUUAUCAUAGUGUCGGAAUAAAACAUAUAGAAAUAUAUUUUUUUAUUUUUUUAAUAAAUUUAUAA